Echinostoma caproni is the source of this 82-nucleotide non-coding RNA. The record is from Rfam. Lineage: Eukaryota; Metazoa; Platyhelminthes; Trematoda; Plagiorchiida; Echinostomatidae.
GGCCUCGUAGCUUAGCUGGUAGAGCAUGCUCCUACAAAGCGUAGGCGGCAUCCAUGCGUGGAUUCGAAUCUCACCGAGGCUA